GCCACGGUGGUCUAGCGGUUAGAACGCCGGCCUUGUAAUCCUGGGGUCUCGGGUUCGAUUCCCGGCAGUGCCC
Non-coding RNA from Zootermopsis nevadensis, 73 nucleotides. The record is from Rfam. Lineage: Eukaryota; Metazoa; Arthropoda; Insecta; Blattodea; Termopsidae.